UGGGGAAUAUUGCACAAUGGGGGAAACCCUGAUGCAGCGACGCCGCGUGAAGGAAGAAGUAUCUCGGUAUGUAAACUUCUAUCAGCAGGGAAGACAAUGAC
RNAcentral lists this ribosomal RNA (101 nucleotides) under uncultured bacterium. RNAcentral describes it as "partial 16S ribosomal RNA". It matches the Rfam family "Bacterial small subunit ribosomal RNA", at positions 355 to 455 of the family's 1533-position model. The record is from RNAcentral.